Molecule: long non-coding RNA, 5328 nt
Organism: Symphalangus syndactylus (siamang)
Lineage: Eukaryota; Metazoa; Chordata; Mammalia; Primates; Hylobatidae
Source: RefSeq, a predicted model, not a curated record
GGGAGUGGCAGUGGCCCCCGAGCUGCAGCCUGCAUCGCGGCGGGACCCGCAGCCCGGAGUUCGAGGGGGUAACCCGAGCCCUCCAAGCUCUUGAAGCCGCGAGGGUGGCUUAGCUUCGGUGUUUUGGCUGAGAACACCCUUAAAGCUUAAAAUAAAACCUGCCUGUGGGGUGCGGGGGAGUAGAGAGGAGGACGCGAAUCACACCCGUUGCUGCCCCCCAGCCCUCCCCGUCUGUACAAUGGGAUGCUCGGGACUCGGACGGGAGGAUCCAGUGACUGCGAGCCCUGGAUUCGCCUGAUCCCAGCCUCACACCCCCAGCCAGCCCCCAGAGACCCUCCCACACUUACGAAGGAAAUGCAUGCGGCCAGGAGGAGGAUCCGCACCAGGAGCAGGGAGCUCUACCCAGGAAAAAGAAGAAAAGGACAGAUUCAUUUGGGGUUCAGCCUCAUGCCCCCUACACCCCAGACUUUGUGGCUAAGGUAAGAGAAUCAGGCCACCUUGAGGUUCAUCAAGGUCAUCCCAUUAAAACCUCCCAAAUCUCUGGAUCUCAGGACUCUGUUUUCUCAGUAUCCUCUUCCCCCUGCGAGCAUUGGACAACGGCCCAGCUCUUCCUUAAGAAACCCUGAAGGGAGAAACGCGUGCAUGCGUGUGCGUGUGUUUUGGGGGUGCAGGAGGGCAUUAAUUACCAGCCUUUCUUCCAAGGGACACUUACCAUUGGGGCCGUAUUUCUCUAGAUUCCGCUUAACUUGGUCCGGGGUGAGGCCCGUGGUCUCACUCACCCCAAAAUAGGCCAAACAUUCCUCCGUGGUUUUAGCAUGAGCGGCCUCCAUUGCGCUCCCUUCCUGGGGGCCGGGGCCGGUGUGUUCCUUCUGGGGGUUUCCCACUCGUGGGGGGUCUUCCUCAGUGUGUCCAACUGCCUGUCUGCCUGGGUUUCUUCUUCUCACUCUCCUGCCCCCUCCAGGUUUUUCUUCCCUCCACAAAGCUCUGACCCCCGUCCCACUUGAGCAGCCGGCCACCCCCCGGUCCCCAGCUGGUCCUUAUGAGGGAGCAGGGGGAGGCCGGGCUCCCCCCUCCUCCAGAUCAGGGAUUGGCUGGCUGAGACUCCAGCAGGAGGGGUCAGAAAAGAGAGAUAUUUCUGCUGACAGAGGGGGAACAGUGGGGCUGCAGCCUGAGAUGUCACUCAUGAGGGACGCAAAGGUAGCCCCAGCCCCAGGGAAGUGGGGUAGGGAGAGACUUCACUUUCUGUCAUCUGCUACUGACCCCACCCCCCCAUUGCCUCGACUUCCCCAGUUGCAUUGAAUUUCCCAUUCCAAACUCAUCCCCCCAGUUCUUCCCUGAGCCCUCUUCCAUCCCCGGCCUCACCUGUCCCUUUCCUCACACCCUCCUUCCUGCCUCAUCUGCCUGGAGCCUCUUUCCAUUGCCGCAGUCUCCUUCCUCCUCACCCAGUUUGCUGAAGCAGUGGCAGAGAUACCCCAAGCCUUUGGGGGACUGAUGAAGGGAGAACACCUUUUGGGGGCUAGAGGAAGUGGCUCCUAGAGGGACAAGGGGAAGUGAGGAGGGGAGAGAGUCAAGGGGACAGGGCCGAAGAUGGUAACCUUACCCUAGGGAGGGGUUGCCACAGCCAUCAACAAGGGAUUUAGUGUCCAGGCCCUGGUGAGCAAAGCCAGCACUGCCUGUCUGUCCCCAAAACUGCCCCCCCUUCCUCAUCGCUCUAACUCAGCCUCUGGGAACAGAACCCUCAGGGCCCCCCCAUCCUGGAUAGGGAAUCCCCACCCCCCCCAAGAAAAUGGGACACCAAGGCAGCCAAGUAACCCAAGAGGCUGCAGAAUGUGCUGAUGGCAGAGGGGGAGGGGUAACUGUCUCAGGAUGGGGGCAGGGGUCACCCCAAGUCGUGCACUGAGGGCCACCUCAUCCCACACUGUGCUCUAACCAACGGGGUUUCCGUGGCCAGCCCCAGAGGCCUGUGGUCUGCACUGUACUCUGCCCUGCUGCAUCUGUGCACGAGGGGAACAGGAUCAGGCCCAUGCUGUGUGUGCCCAGGAGCUGGGCAGGCCCCACAGAAAGGUGUCAGGGCCUGGGGAAGCUGGACCAAGCAGGGGCUCCCGACCAAAGGAAUGGGGAAGGGUAGACUUCUGGGGACAGGUCUGGGGGAAAUGAGGACAGAUGUCUAGACCUAGGGGGAAACGGAGCAGAGACACAGAGCCACCAGGGUCAGAGGGAAGUCCGAGAGGAGCAGUGGGGAAGAGGGACAGCAGGGAGCCAGGUGGGCGGCGACCCCGGCGCUGGGUGCAAAGCCACAAGUUGUUGCUGAACGCUGGCCUUGGUGUCAGCUUCCUCAGAGAAGCAGCUGCUCUGAGCUGCCCCUCCCCACCCCUGCUCCAGGAUGGGGGCGUCUCUUGGUUACCACCAGGGCAGCUGCUGGAGGAGCCGAGGGAGGGUACCAGGGGUGCAGGAGGGGGAGGACAGGCAGGCAGAGAGGCUGGAUGACAGUCAGGGUGAAAGGUCAGUGAGGGGAAGGGGCCUGGUGCCCUGGGCUCAAGUCUGUCCUCCGUCUAGGCCUGUUUCCUGAAAUGAGCAGAGGCGUGUGGACUUCCUAAGUGUGGCUUCUUAAGGCUGCUUUCCAUUCUGGGGCUCAAACUCCGAAGCAGAGGACAGAAUAGGAAACAGCAGAGCAAAGAAAACGGAGGCCCCCACUUUUGGGGAGGGGGAUGGCAGCAGGAGUGGAUGGAACUUGAGAGUUCAGCCUCCCAGAUGCAUCCCUUCUGCCUGGACUUGGGUGAAGCGAAACCUCCUGGGUGAGUUGAGGACAAGGUGCUCUUUCCCGCCUCCUUUUCACAGUUCCAACAAACCCAUCCCCUGAAGCAGAGUCCUGCUGUGACCUGAGGGGAGUGGGGGACAGUGGGCUGAAUGGGGGGUGCAGGAGAGCAUUAAUUAGCAGCCUCUCUUCCAAGAGACACAGCCCCCGGCACCUCCACCUAGCCCAGCACCCACCGUCUCCGCUGGACUCAGGCUCACACCCGCCAAGGCUUUUGGCGCUGGCCGGUGUCUCCCCACUGGCACCUGGAGGAGUGACAGGGGCUACUGUCUUACAGCAGUGGGAAUGCCCAAACAUGGAGAGGGGCAGACGGAGAGAUGGGCAGCUUUGAGGGAGUCGAGAGCCUGAGACAGAGGGCAGGGGGCAGGCUUGGCAACACAUUCCUGAGAACAGGCCUUUAAAGUUAUGCAUUUCUACCUCCCCCGGCUUCCCAGAGGGGGAAACAAGCCAGGGAGGGAAAGCCACCGGCCAGGGCCAGGAGCUGCGGAAGCGCCGCUCUUGGGGAGGCUGUGGGUGUGAACUGCCACGGAGGGAGGCUGAGCCAGAGGCGCCCUCGGGGAUCCCUUCCCACAGGGGUCUCCAUGCCCAGGGAUGGAAAGUGAUCCUCCUGUCACACCUGAGGGCUGGAGCUACAAGCAUGGGACACGAAGACAGCCUGGCCAGUCCCUGAUGAGUGCAGAACUUCGGUUUAACCAUCUGUAAAGAAAGGCUUAGAGGGAAAGUCUCUCAGGCCCCAACAGCCAAGACUUGCCGGUCUGAGGAGUGGGUGGGUGUCCUGGUCCCCCUCCCUUGCCCAUCUUUGGAAGGCAGGUCUCUGAAGGCUGGCAGUGCUGGGGGGAGGGGGAGCCUCAGAGCACCAGUUGCUGCUGGAAGAUUAGGAGGGGAUCAGGCCCUGCUUACCCCGGGGCGCCACAGCCUUCACUGGCCAUCUCACUAAGAACACAGCACCCGGCUCUCCAAAGCUUCCCCCCCCUUUCAAGGCCGGUCCUAUCCCCAGUCUCCUGAGGCCAAGGUUUGGGGAGCCCCAGGAAUUAGAGCAAGCAGGAGAGCCAGCAGGCUUCCCUCGGCUAGCCCCCCGCCUGGGUGGCCUGGAAGCCCAGCUGUCUCCUGUCCAUCUCCCAACAGGACACAAGGCCCAGAAUAGCAAGGUCAUGAGCGUGGGUAGGGCCUCCUGGAGGUGGGGGCUGAGGCUGAGGAGCAUGAGGGUGUGGGCUCCUUGCUGCCUGGGCAGGGAGUGAGGCAGGAUGCUGAAAGGCAGAGCUGGACAGCGGGGAAGGGAGAGGGCCGAGCUCAGCAGGUGGGAUUCUUCAGCCCCAGGCCCCUCCUUGUUGGCACCCACUGCCCCCAGAGCUAGGAAGCCCAGGGGUGCCCUCUGUUGGAGGGCACAGCCGCGGAUCAGGAAGACUAAUUCCAAGAGCAGAGCCUGUGUUUAACGGGGUGGAGGGGUGUGCCACAAUGGGGGUGGUGUUAUAAACUCAAAUGCCCACAGGGCCAGGCCCUCCCAGGGAGCAAAGUGAGCUGGUGGGGAUGGGGCAGAUGUGGAAAUGGACCCACAGCUGGAUCUUCUGAUUUUUAAGAGAAGCCAGUGAUUUUUUUUUUUUUUUUUUUAGACAGAGUCUUGCUCUGUUGCCCAGGUUGGAGUGCAAUGGUGCAAUCUCGGCUCACAGCAACCUCUGCCUCCUGGGCUCAAGCAAUUCUCCUACCUCAGCCUCCUGAGUAGCUGGUAUUAUAGGUGCGCACCAACACGCCCAGCUAAUUUUUUGUAUUUUUAGUAGAGACGGGGUUUCUCCACGUUGGUCAGGCUGGUCUCGAACUCCUGACCUCAGGUGAUCCACCCACGUCGGCCUCCCAAAGUGCUGGGAUUACAGGUGUGAGCCACCGCACCCAGCCUGCGAUCUGAAUUUUUAAUGUGAAACUCAAAUGGACACCAUGUCCAGGCCAAGCAAACCAUGUCAGCAGCUCUGACUCAAGAUGAAACUUCACAUGUCACAGAUGAGGAUGCUCAGGCCCGGUGUGGCUACACCUUGCCCAGGCCAGUGAGUGGCAAGGCCAGGACAGAAGCUAGCGCUCUCUGCCGUCCACCCUCCAGCCUGGCUCUGAGAAGGGGGGGCAUUGGGCCCCUCUGUGGCUACUCUGUGACUGCCACAUUCAAUCUCUUCCAGCACAGCCACCAUGCCCCCCAUCUCUUGCUGCCAGCUCUCUCUAGGGUAGGAAGCCAUAACUCAGGAAGGGCCGCUGGAGAUCACCAUGCCUGCCAUUCACAGCACCGUCCCAUGACAAAAACUUGCAGGAGACCCCAAGAGCAUCAUUUAGUGCUCCACAAACAAGGCUGUCAGAGACAGGGAUGGCCCCGAAAGCACAGCACUGCAGAGCGAUGGGGACUCAGCCUGGGCCAGCCCUCUGGCCUGUGGGCACUGAGUGGGCUGCCUUCCCAACCCAACUGUCCCCAGUCCCUACAGCAAACACUGGCCAUAGCCAUCACGAUAGAACCGAGAUAAACCUUUUUAUUUAUU